Molecule: long non-coding RNA, 429 nt
Organism: Equus caballus (horse)
Lineage: Eukaryota; Metazoa; Chordata; Mammalia; Perissodactyla; Equidae
Source: RefSeq, a predicted model, not a curated record
CCUGAAAUCUUCCUUAGGCUGAGCCCUUGCUGGAGACCAACCAAGCUGAGAUCAGGAUCUGAUAAACAUCUCAAAGCAGGGCCAAGUUUUGACUUUAUGGAUCGAACAUAUUCCCUUGUGCUGUGCUCUGGGGAGGUGUUUGAAAAUGUUCGAGAUGUAGAAGGUUAUGCUCAGCGCUAACAUUCUCGGAGCCUGGGAUGAGAGGACACAUGGAGUCACACACUGAAUGGCUAAUCCUUUUCGCCACUCCCACCCCACGUCACUGUCAAGCGUGUGCAUCCUCUGUGACGGCACUUCACGGCCUGCACACCUGGGACCAGUCCGUUUUGUGAAGGAACAGAGGACAAGUGGCUUGGCCUCCAGAGACGUUAGUUACCAGCAGCGACUUUCAGGUGACAGGUCAUGCUGUACCCAAUCCCAAGUGACAGA